This 301-nucleotide ribosomal RNA is filed under the name uncultured bacterium. RNAcentral describes it as "partial 16S ribosomal RNA". It matches the Rfam family "Bacterial small subunit ribosomal RNA", at positions 509 to 807 of the family's 1533-position model. The record is from RNAcentral.
CAGCCGCCGCGGUAACACGGAGGGUGCAAGCGUUAAUCGGAAUUACUGGGCGUAAAGCGCACGCAGGCGGUUUGUUAAGUCAGAUGUGAAAUCCCCGAGCUUAACUUGGGAACUGCAUUUGAAACUGGCAAGCUAGAGUCUUGUAGAGGGGGGUAGAAUUCCAGGUGUAGCGGUGAAAUGCGUAGAGAUCUGGAGGAAUACCGGUGGCGAAGUCGGCCCCCUGGACAAAGACUGACGCUCAGGUGCGAAAGCGUGGGGAGCAAACAGGAUUAGAUACCCCGGUAGUCCCUGUCUCUUAUAC